Molecule: ribosomal RNA, 2899 nt
Filed under: Klebsiella pneumoniae
Lineage: Bacteria; Pseudomonadati; Pseudomonadota; Gammaproteobacteria; Enterobacterales; Enterobacteriaceae
Description: bacterial LSU rRNA
Rfam family: Bacterial large subunit ribosomal RNA
Source: RNAcentral
UUAAGCGACUAAGCGUACACGGUGGAUGCCCUGGCAGUCAGAGGCGAUGAAGGACGUGCUAAUCUGCGAAAAGCGUCGGUAAGGUGAUAUGAACCGUUAUAGCCGGCGAUGUCCGAAUGGGGAAACCCAGUGCAAUUCGUUGCACUAUCGUUAACUGAAUACAUAGGUUAACGAGGCGAACCGGGGGAACUGAAACAUCUAAGUACCCCGAGGAAAAGAAAUCAACCGAGAUUCCCCCAGUAGCGGCGAGCGAACGGGGAGCAGCCCAGAGUCUGAAUCAGCUUGUGUGUUAGUGGAACGGUCUGGAAAGUCCGACGGUACAGGGUGAUAGUCCCGUACACCAAAAUGCACAGGCUGUGAACUCGAAGAGUAGGGCGGGACACGUGGUAUCCUGUCUGAAUAUGGGGGGACCAUCCUCCAAGGCUAAAUACUCCUGACUGACCGAUAGUGAACCAGUACCGUGAGGGAAAGGCGAAAAGAACCCCGGCGAGGGGAGUGAAAAAGAACCUGAAACCGUGUACGUACAAGCAGUGGGAGCACCUUCGGGUGUGACUGCGUACCUUUUGUAUAAUGGGUCAGCGACUUAUAUUCUGUAGCAAGGUUAACCGUAUAGGGGAGCCGCAGGGAAACCGAGUCUUAACUGGGCGUUAAGUUGCAGGGUAUAGACCCGAAACCCGGUGAUCUAGCCAUGGGCAGGUUGAAGGUUGGGUAACACUAACUGGAGGACCGAACCGACUAAUGUUGAAAAAUUAGCGGAUGACUUGUGGCUGGGGGUGAAAGGCCAAUCAAACCGGGAGAUAGCUGGUUCUCCCCGAAAGCUAUUUAGGUAGCGCCUCGUGAAUUCAUCUUCGGGGGUAGAGCACUGUUUCGGCUAGGGGGUCAUCCCGACUUACCAACCCGAUGCAAACUACGAAUACCGAAGAAUGUUAUCACGGGAGACACACGGCGGGUGCUAACGUCCGUCGUGAAGAGGGAAACAACCCAGACCGCCAGCUAAGGUCCCAAAGUCAUGGUUAAGUGGGAAACGAUGUGGGAAGGCACAGACAGCCAGGAUGUUGGCUUAGAAGCAGCCAUCAUUUAAAGAAAGCGUAAUAGCUCACUGGUCGAGUCGGCCUGCGCGGAAGAUGUAACGGGGCUAAACCAUGCACCGAAGCUGCGGCAGCGACACUAUGUGUUGUUGGGUAGGGGAGCGUUCUGUAAGCCUGCGAAGGUGACCUGUGAGGGUUGCUGGAGGUAUCAGAAGUGCGAAUGCUGACAUAAGUAACGAUAAAGCGGGUGAAAAGCCCGCUCGCCGGAAGACCAAGGGUUCCUGUCCAACGUUAAUCGGGGCAGGGUGAGUCGACCCCUAAGGCGAGGCCGAAAGGCGUAGUCGAUGGGAAACAGGUUAAUAUUCCUGUACUUGGUGUUACUGCGAAGGGGGGACGGAGAAGGCUAUGUUAGCCGGGCGACGGUUGUCCCGGUUUAAGCAUGUAGGCUGAUUGUCCAGGCAAAUCCGGAUAAUCAAGGCUGAGGUGUGAUGACGAGGCACUACGGUGCUGAAGUAACAAAUGCCCUGCUUCCAGGAAAAGCCUCUAAGCAUCAGGUAACAUUAAAUCGUACCCCAAACCGACACAGGUGGUCAGGUAGAGAAUACCAAGGCGCUUGAGAGAACUCGGGUGAAGGAACUAGGCAAAAUGGUGCCGUAACUUCGGGAGAAGGCACGCUGGUGUGUAGGUGAAGUCCCUGCGGAUGGAGCUGAGACCAGUCGAAGAUACCAGCUGGCUGCAACUGUUUAUUAAAAACACAGCACUGUGCAAACACGAAAGUGGACGUAUACGGUGUGACGCCUGCCCGGUGCCGGAAGGUUAAUUGAUGGGGUUAUCCGUAAGGAGAAGCUCUUGAUCGAAGCCCCGGUAAACGGCGGCCGUAACUAUAACGGUCCUAAGGUAGCGAAAUUCCUUGUCGGGUAAGUUCCGACCUGCACGAAUGGCGUAAUGAUGGCCAGGCUGUCUCCACCCGAGACUCAGUGAAAUUGAACUCGCUGUGAAGAUGCAGUGUACCCGCGGCAAGACGGAAAGACCCCGUGAACCUUUACUAUAGCUUGACACUGAACAUUGAGCCUUGAUGUGUAGGAUAGGUGGGAGGCUUUGAAGCGUGGACGCCAGUCUGCGUGGAGCCAACCUUGAAAUACCACCCUUUAAUGUUUGAUGUUCUAACGUUGGCCCCUGACCGGGGUUGCGGACAGUGUCUGGUGGGUAGUUUGACUGGGGCGGUCUCCUCCCAAAGCGUAACGGAGGAGCACGAAGGUUAGCUAAUCCUGGUCGGACAUCAGGAGGUUAGUGCAAUGGCAUAAGCUAGCUUGACUGCGAGCGUGACGGCGCGAGCAGGUGCGAAAGCAGGUCAUAGUGAUCCGGUGGUUCUGAAUGGAAGGGCCAUCGCUCAACGGAUAAAAGGUACUCCGGGGAUAACAGGCUGAUACCGCCCAAGAGUUCAUAUCGACGGCGGUGUUUGGCACCUCGAUGUCGGCUCAUCACAUCCUGGGGCUGAAGUAGGUCCCAAGGGUAUGGCUGUUCGCCAUUUAAAGUGGUACGCGAGCUGGGUUUAGAACGUCGUGAGACAGUUCGGUCCCUAUCUGCCGUGGGCGCUGGAGAAUUGAGGGGGGCUGCUCCUAGUACGAGAGGACCGGAGUGGACGCAUCACUGGUGUUCGGGUUGUCAUGCCAAUGGCACUGCCCGGUAGCUAAAUGCGGAAGAGAUAAGUGCUGAAAGCAUCUAAGCACGAAACUUGCCCCGAGAUGAGUUCUCCCUGAGACUUUAAGUCUCCUGAAGGAACGUUAAAGACGAUGACGUUGAUAGGCCGGGUGUGUAAGCGCAGCGAUGCGUUGAGCUAACCGGUACUAAUGAACCGUGAGGCUUAACCU